CCUACGGGAGGCUGCAGUGAGGAAUAUUGGUCAAUGGGCGCGAGCCUGAACCAGCCAAGUCGCGUGAAGGAUGACUGUCCUAAGGGUUGUAAACUUCUUUUAUAAAGGAAUAAAGUGAGGCACGUGUGCCUUUUUGUAUGUACUUUAUGAAUAAGGAUCGGCUAACUCCGUGCCAGCAGCCGCGGUAAUACGGGGGAUCCGAGCGUUAUCCGGAUUUAUUGGGUUUAAAGGGUGCGUAGGGGGGGUGUUAAGUCAGUUGUGAAAGUGUGGGGCUCAACCGUAAAAGAGCAAUUGAAACUGGCAGUCUUGAGUACAGUAGAGGUAGGCGGAAUGCGUGGUGUAGCGGUGAAAUGCUUAGAUAUCACGAAGAACUCCGAUUGCGAAGGCAGCUUACUAACCGCGCACUGACGCUGAGGCACGAAAGCGUGGGUAUCAAACAGGAUUAGAUACCCGAGUAGUC
RNAcentral lists this ribosomal RNA (460 nucleotides) under uncultured bacterium. RNAcentral's name for it is "partial 16S ribosomal RNA". It matches the Rfam family "Bacterial small subunit ribosomal RNA", at positions 338 to 795 of the family's 1533-position model. The record is from RNAcentral.